GACGAACGCUGGCGGCGUGCUUAACACAUGCAAGUCGAACGGAAAGGCUCCAGCUUGCUGGAGUACUCGAGUGGCGAACGGGUGAGUAACACGUGGGUGAUCUGCCCUGCACUUCGGGAUAAGCCUGGGAAACUGGGUCUAAUACCGGAUAGGACCGCACUUUGGUGUGUGUGGUGGAAAGGUUUUUCUGGUGUGGGAUGAGCUCGCGGCCUAUCAGUUUGUUGGUGGGGUAAUGGCCUACCAAGACGGCGACGGGUAGCCGGCCUGAGAGGGUGGACGGUCACAUUGGGACUGAGAUACGGCCCAGACUCCUACGGGAGGCAGCAGUGGGGAAUAUUGCACAAUGGGGGAAACCCUGAUGCAGCGACGCCGCGUGGGGGAUGAAGGCCUUCGGGUUGUAAACUCCUUUCGCUAGGGACGAAGCUUUUUGUGACGGUACCUGGAGAAGAAGCACCGGCUAACUACGUGC
Molecule: ribosomal RNA, 469 nt
Filed under: uncultured bacterium
Lineage: Bacteria
Description: partial 16S ribosomal RNA
Rfam family: Bacterial small subunit ribosomal RNA
Source: RNAcentral